Molecule: small nucleolar RNA, 99 nt
Filed under: Saccharomyces arboricola H-6
Lineage: Eukaryota; Fungi; Ascomycota; Saccharomycetes; Saccharomycetales; Saccharomycetaceae
Description: Small nucleolar RNA Z122
Rfam family: Small nucleolar RNA Z122
About the family: Z122 is a member of the C/D class of snoRNA which contain the C (UGAUGA) and D (CUGA) box motifs.
Source: Rfam by way of RNAcentral
AUUGUGAUGUGAUGACAACUUCUUGAGCUAUAUAUUUCUUGAGGUUCUCAAUGAAGAAAACGUCUCACUAAAUGAUUUGCACGUCAGUCUGAUCACAAU